RNAcentral lists this ribosomal RNA (253 nucleotides) under uncultured bacterium. Its description in RNAcentral is "partial 16S ribosomal RNA". It matches the Rfam family "Bacterial small subunit ribosomal RNA", at positions 524 to 776 of the family's 1533-position model. The record is from RNAcentral.
UACAGAGGGGGCAAGCGUUGUUCGGAAUUACUGGGCGUAAAGGGCGCGUAGGCGGCCUUCUAAGUCGAACGUGAAAUCCCUGGGCUCAACCCAGGAACUGCGUCCGAUACUGGAAGGCUUGAAUCCGGGAGAGGGAUGCGGAAUUCCAGGUGUAGCGGUGAAAUGCGUAGAUAUCUGGAAGAACACCAAAGGCGAAGGCAGCAUCCUGGGAAGUUCCUGACGCUCGGGUGCGAAAGCCAGGGGAGCGAACGGG